Long non-coding RNA from Sapajus apella (tufted capuchin), 110 nucleotides. RefSeq lists it as uncharacterized. The transcript is spliced from 3 exons. The record is from RefSeq and is a predicted model, not a curated record. Lineage: Eukaryota; Metazoa; Chordata; Mammalia; Primates; Cebidae.
GACACAAGACUAUUAAAGUUUUCAUGAUGAAGAUACCAAAGACAAUUGCAACAAAAACAAAAACUGAUAAAUGGGACCUAAUUAAGGUAAAGAGUUUCUGCAAAGUAAAA